Molecule: transfer RNA, 62 nt
Filed under: Manus koellikeri
Lineage: Eukaryota; Metazoa; Annelida; Clitellata; Crassiclitellata; Megascolecidae
Description: tRNA-Arg
Source: RNAcentral
AAACAACAGCAUAAAAAAUGCAUACCGGUUUCGGCCCGGUAAGAGCGAGCACGCAUUGUUUU